This 253-nucleotide ribosomal RNA is filed under the name uncultured bacterium. RNAcentral describes it as "partial 16S ribosomal RNA". It matches the Rfam family "Bacterial small subunit ribosomal RNA", at positions 524 to 775 of the family's 1533-position model. The record is from RNAcentral.
UACGUAGGGUGCAAGCGUUGUCCGGAAUUAUUGGGCGUAAAGAGCUCGUAGGCGGUUUGUCGCGUCGAAUGUGAAAACCCGGGGCUCAACCCCGGGCCUGCAUUCGAUACGGGCAGACUAGAGUUCGGUAGGGGAGUCUGGAAUUCCUGGUGUAGCGGUGAAAUGCGCAGGAUAUCAGGAAGAACACCCGUGGCUAAGGCGGCUCUCUAGUACGGUACUGACGCUGAGACGCGAAAGCGUGGGGAGCGAACAG